Molecule: ribosomal RNA, 460 nt
Filed under: uncultured bacterium
Lineage: Bacteria
Description: partial 16S ribosomal RNA
Rfam family: Bacterial small subunit ribosomal RNA
Source: RNAcentral
CCUACGGGUGGCAGCAGUGAGGAAUAUUGGUCAAUGGACGAGAGUCUGAACCAGCCAAGUAGCGUGAAGGAUGACUGCCCUAUGGGUUGUAAACUUCUUUUAUAUGGGAAUAAAAUGUUCCACGUGUGGGAUUUUGUAUGUACCAUAUGAAUAAGGAUCGGCUAACUCCGUGCCAGCAGCCGCGGUAAUACGGAGAAUCCGAGCGUUAUCCGGAUUUAUUGGGUUUAAAGGGAGCGUAGGUGGAUUGUUAAGUCAGUUGUGAAAGUUUGCGGCUCAACCGUAAAAUUGCAGUUGAAACUGGCAGUCUUGAGUACAGUAGAGGUGGGCGGAAUUCGUGGUGUAGCGGUGAAAUGCUUAGAGAUCACGAAGAACUCCGAUUGCGAAGGCAGUUCACUGGACUGCAACUGACACUGAGGCUCGAAAGUGUGGGUAUCAAACAGGAUUAGAUACCCGGGUAGUC